This 506-nucleotide ribosomal RNA is filed under the name Cladosporium cladosporioides. Its description in RNAcentral is "eukaryotic LSU rRNA". The stretch from base 146 to 299 matches the Rfam family "5.8S ribosomal RNA". The record is from RNAcentral. Lineage: Eukaryota; Fungi; Ascomycota; Dothideomycetes; Cladosporiales; Cladosporiaceae.
CCGGCUACGGCCGGGAUGUUCAUAACCCUUUGUUGUCCGACUCUGUUGCCUCCGGGGCGACCCUGCCUUCGGGCGGGGGCUCCGGGUGGACACUUCAAACUCUUGCGUAACUUUGCAGUCUGAGUAAACUUAAUUAAUAAAUUAAAACUUUUAACAACGGAUCUCUUGGUUCUGGCAUCGAUGAAGAACGCAGCGAAAUGCGAUAAGUAAUGUGAAUUGCAGAAUUCAGUGAAUCAUCGAAUCUUUGAACGCACAUUGCGCCCCCUGGUAUUCCGGGGGGCAUGCCUGUUCGAGCGUCAUUUCACCACUCAAGCCUCGCUUGGUAUUGGGCAACGCGGUCCGCCGCGUGCCUCAAAUCGUCCGGCUGGGUCUUCUGUCCCCUAAGCGUUGUGGAAACUAUUCGCUAAAGGGUGUUCGGGAGGCUACGCCGUAAAACAACCCCAUUUCUAAGGUUGACCUCGGAUCAGGUAGGGAUACCCGCUGAACUUAAGCAUAUCAAUAAGAGG